RNAcentral lists this unclassified non-coding RNA (357 nucleotides) under uncultured fungus. Its description in RNAcentral is "partial contains small subunit ribosomal RNA, internal transcribed spacer 1, and 5.8S ribosomal RNA". The stretch from base 1 to 73 matches the Rfam family "Eukaryotic small subunit ribosomal RNA", at positions 1759 to 1831 of the family's 1831-position model. The record is from RNAcentral. Lineage: Eukaryota; Fungi.
UCAAACUUGGUCAUUUAGAGGAAGUAAAAGUCGUAACAAGGUUUCCGUAGGUGAACCUGCGGAAGGAUCAUUACAGAAUUGUGCGAGGGAUCGGGAACGGGCUCGUCUCGUCCCCUUUCUCUCGACAAAUCAAUCCACCCCUCUUGUGAACCAUCGAGAAGUUAGAAGCCUAGGUCAGUAAGGGAGGUGGGGGACCACGUUCCCCCUUCUCUGAGAGCCCGCGCAUCUUUCUUUCUCUUUUAAAAUUAUAUACCCCUUUGAAAGUCUCGGAAUGUAACUUAUGCAGUUUAUCUGAACCGCAAUAAAAUAACUUUCAGCAACGGAUCUCUUGGCUCUCGCAUCGAUGAAGAACGCAGC